This 205-nucleotide non-coding RNA is filed under the name unclassified sequences. The record is from Rfam.
CUUGUAUGGGUCUGUGGUUGCAAGUCGAGGCCAGUCGCAGGCGAAACGAUCCACGUAAGCGGGCAAAGGUCCCGUGAGCAUGGUGCGGCUUAGAGGUAAGACCAACCGGGAAACCGAGAGAGGCAGUAGUGGGGAGCUAUGAAGGCUUAGGAGCGAACCCUCCUGUUGGCGAGUGUGGGGGCAAAGACCAGGUCAGCCAUACCGG